Long non-coding RNA from Coffea arabica (coffee), 604 nucleotides. RefSeq lists it as uncharacterized. The record is from RefSeq and is a predicted model, not a curated record. NCBI's taxonomy places the organism in Eukaryota, Viridiplantae, Streptophyta, Magnoliopsida, Gentianales, Rubiaceae.
CGGUGCAGAGGCAGCGGCAGCGGCAGCGGCGGCUUUCUCAAUCCUCAGAGCUUCUCUCUUCUCGGCCUUCAUAUCUCUUGAGUAACCAUGAUGGUUGUGGUCUCAAACUAAAGAAACGAGAAAAUGAAAGCUGUUGCAACUAGUGCUUGUCGGAGUAUCUUGCAAUCAAGAGCUGUUAUUGUUGGUCGUUUGUGUAACUUUUGUUCGUUUGCAUACGAAUUUCUGGAAAUAUAAUUCGGGCUUUGGUUUUCUGUUAAACGUUUAGGCAAAUGGGCAAAAUGACAAUUUGCGUGAUUUAGUUUUCCUGCCAGUAUGUUUUCAGGCAUGAAAACAGGGAGAAAAUAAACGGCAGCAUAGUGUUUUGUACAGAAUCUCAUGUCCAAAUCUGCUAGUCCUCGAGCGCUUGUUCCAUGUUGCAGGCAUCUUGAAGUUGAACUACAACUCUUUUGGUGUUUGCAAUUGUACUAUGCUAUAAAAAGGUAGUUACGACUAACUAGUUUCUCCUUUGAUCAGCAUUAAAAAGGGCUCAAAAAUAGAUGCAAAUUUUCUUUUAAAGAUCAAAAUGGUAUUGAAAUGGAAUUGAAUCUGCAUUUUCACAUUUGCA